GAUGAACGCUGGCGGCGUGCUUAAUACAUGCAAGUCGAACGGACAGGCGAUGAUCUUGCGGCGUGCUCGAGUGGCGAACGGGUGUGUAACACGCGUGUAACAUGCACCUGUAAUUGGGGUAACAUCUGGAAACAGCGGAUCAUAUCGGAUAGGAGAUUUCGCAGCACGGUGGUGGUUGGUAAGAUUCGGCGGUUGGAGCUCGACUCGAGGCUUAUCCGCUUGUUAGGGAGGUUGUGGCUUACAAAGGCUUUGAAGGGUAGCCCGCCUGAGCGGGUGACCGGCCACAAUGGGACUGAGAUACGGCCCAGACGCCUACGGGAGGCAGCAGGGGGGAGUAUGGCACAAUGGGCGGGAGCCUGAUGCAGCAACGCCGCGUGCGUGAUGACGGCCUUCUAGGUGUAAACCACUGUCGCCUGAAACGAAGCGUGAGUGACGGUAAUGAGUAAGAAAGCACCGGCUAACUACGUG
RNAcentral lists this ribosomal RNA (468 nucleotides) under uncultured bacterium. Its description in RNAcentral is "partial 16S ribosomal RNA". It matches the Rfam family "Bacterial small subunit ribosomal RNA", at positions 28 to 507 of the family's 1533-position model. The record is from RNAcentral.